UACGAAGGGGGCUAGCGUUGCUCGGAAUCACUGGGCGUAAAGCGCACGUAGGCGGCUUUUUAAGUCAGGGGUGAAAUCCUGGAGCUCAACUCCAGAACUGCCUUUGAUACUGAAGAUCUUGAGUCCGGGAGAGGUGAGUGGAACUGCGAGUGUAGAGGUGAAAUUCGUAGAUAUUCGCAAGAACACCAGUGGCGAAGGCGGCUCACUGGCCCGGUACUGACGCUGAGGCACGAAAGCGUGGGGAGCAAACAGG
This 253-nucleotide ribosomal RNA is filed under the name uncultured bacterium. Its description in RNAcentral is "partial 16S ribosomal RNA". It matches the Rfam family "Bacterial small subunit ribosomal RNA", at positions 524 to 776 of the family's 1533-position model. The record is from RNAcentral.